AGCCAAUUCACCUUUGAAAAGACACAUAAUAUCCAAUUUUGGUAAGUUGUAACAAAAUGGCUAGCUCCCCUUCAUUGUGUUUUGCCCAUAUGGCUAGCUCCCCCCUCAUUGUGUUUUGCCCAUAUGGCUAGCUCCCCCUCAUUGUGGCCUUGUCUCACAAGUGGUCAUGUCCAAGUGUGGAGUUAGAAAUUUAUGAGUUGAAAUUAUUUACGGAUCUCUGUGUUUAGACAAUAGGAUCUAGAAAUUUGGACUAUUUGAUUUAAAUUAUAUGGUCAUCAUUAGCCUAUCUCUUAGCCCACCCCAUAGAAAACAGGAGGUGAAUUGUCUGCCCUCCCAUUUCCAUACUCUCCCCAUGCCCUUAUGUGAUGUGUGGUCAUGGUUAAGCUACGUCAACAUUUUAUAUUAAUUUUUUAUAGAAAUAAUAAAACAAAAGGUAAUAGGAAUAUAAAAUGUUGAUGUGGCUUAACCGUGAUCACACAAACAGGAGGGGAUGGGAAGAGUAUGGAAAUGGGAGGGCAAACAAUUCAUCUCCUAGAAAACAAAGUCUUUGAACAAUCUGGAUCUCUCUCUCUUAAAUAGCUCGGAUUUCUGGGUCCGGUUGCUCCCGACACAAAGAUCCGAAGAGAAUCUCAACUCAGAAUUCACAUAGGAGUGGACUAAUUUGUUUUUCUUGUAGUAUGAAGUGAAAUUUAGGUGUUUGGGUAGGCUAAUUCUUGUUUUGUCAAUGUUAGGCUUUAAUUUUUCCACCACAUCCUUACUUUAACACAAAAUAAAUAAGAAUUAUUAUUGACACUCCAAAAAUUUAUUUUACUCUCCAAACUUUCUAUAAUUUGAAGAAAAAUACGUUUGUGAGCAGGCAUAAUAGAAUUUUUAGAAUACUAAUAACAGUAGCCAGAAAAGUUCAUCUUUGAAAACUAGGGUAUGCUAAAGCCAACCCUUGUUCCUGUGUCUCUCGUUCUAGCCGUGCUAUUUCACACAUAAAAAGUCUCACUUCAAGCUUACCGAAAUUUUGAUUUGAGUUCAUUUAUGUGUUUGCUAACGAUGUAAGUCAUUGUUUAGCUCACCUCGUAAAAAUGGAGAGUGGUACUAGAUUUGCACUUCAAUUUUUUCUUGUAAUUACUUUACUCCUUGGCAAUCUUUUAGAGGAGCACGUACUAUAAUAUUCUCCUUCAUACCUUAAUGCGUAUUUGUAGGUCGUUCUUUUGGCAGCGAGUUAUGAGAGAGCUUUGAGGGAAGUGAAAAACAAAUCUUAUAUCCUCCAUGAAAUUUAGUAAAGUGCUAUUUUUAGUUUGUAUAUUUUCAAUAUAUAUUUUUUGGUAUUUCUCUAAACUUUUACAGGAAUACAAAAGGUUAUUGUCAAUUACCGAUAAACUUCUCACUUCUUAGAGUUAAGUUCUACUCAAAUUUAAUUUGUUGAAGACUGAAUUCACGUGUUGAUACACAAAAACGAAGGUCUUGGAACAACGUAAAUCCGACCGUGAAUCUACAAGAAAUAUAAAAAACACAAGAUGUAUCGUGGUUCACCCCAAGGUUUGGGCUACGUCCACACUGAUUAUUGUAUUUAUCUGAGAGGUGAGGGAGAGAACCUCUGAAUAUGAGAGGGGAUGUGAGUGGGGUGAGAAGGCUUAGGAUUUGGCCUCCCCUAAUUAUGAGGGUGAGGAGUCCUUUUAUAGAAUAAGUGCUCCUCACUUAUUACAUAUUUGCCCCUUCCUUUAUCACAUAAUUACAUUUAAGUCCCCUGAGUAUUUGUACGAGGUCUAAAUACAGAGGCCCUAAGUAUGGUAUAAACAGUAGUCCCCCAAGUCUUCAGUCAAAAGAGUCUUUUGCUGGAGACUUGAAAUUCAGUCCAUGUGUGGGCCGAAGUAACUAGAUGUUGUCUUGAACUGAUGUUCGAUAUGAGGCGGUACCCAAUCUAAAAUGAUGCUCAACUAGAAGUAGCACAUGUUGCGGGGCUGCUCUGCUUGUGGCUUAUGUUGCCUUGGUUGGCUCGACUUGUGGUGUUUGAAGGUGAGGAAGUCCCUUUUAUAGAAUAAGGGCUCACUCCUCAAUACAUAAAUGAUGGGCUAGAGUAGAUGGUCGCAGCGAGGCGGUUGCUCAAUAGGCGGCAAUGCUCUCUAAUGAUGGUGAGGGAGUCCCUUUUAUAGAAUAAGUGCUCGCUCCUCAAUACAUAAGUGAUGGGUUAGGAGUGAUGCUCUCGGCGAGGCAGUUGAUCAGCUGGCGGCAAUGCUCUCUAAUGAAGGUGAGGGAGUCCCUUUUAUAGAAUAAGGGCACGCUCCUCAAUACAUAAGUGAUGGGCUAUGAGUGAUGCUCGCGGCGAGGCGGUUGCUCAGCUGGCGGCGUUGCUCUCUAAUGAAGGUGAGGGAGUCCCUUUUAUAAAAUAAAGGCUCGCUCCUCAGUACAUAAGUAAUGGGCUAAGUCCCCCAAGUAUUUUUCUUGAGGCCUAGUUGAGGCCCAAUAUAUGGUACAUAAUGUAGUCCCCCAAGUCUUUGGUCAAUAGAGUUUAUUGGCUGGAGACUUCAAAUUGAAUCCAUGUAUGGGCCGAACUGGCGGUUGUUCGAAUGCGGUAUUUGUAUACCCUGCAUUUGAAGCUUUGUAGGUGAAGCUUUGCAAGUGAAGCUUUGAAGCUAGAGCUCUGUAAAUGACGCUUUUGAAGCUAGAGCUCUGUAAAUGAAGCUUUUGAAGCUGAUUGACAUGAGUGAUGCUCAUGAAUGUUUAUGUUGAUUGACAUGAGUGAUGCUCAUGGAUGUUAUCAUGAGUGAUGCUCAUGAAUGUUAACAUGAGUGAUGCUCAAGAAUGUUGACAUGAAUGAUGGUCAUGAAUGUUUAUGUAUGAUUGUCAUGAGUGAUGCUUAUGAAUGUUUAUGUAUGAUUGUCAUGAGUGAUGUUUAUGAAUGUUUAUGUAUGAAUGACAUGAGUAAUGCUCAUGUAUAAUUUGGAAUACUGGGCGUACUUUUGAUCACCUGGUUAGUGGCAUGAAGGAGAGUACGGGUUGUACAUUUCAUGACCUGGUUGGUGACAUGAAUGGCUAGUUGUCAAAUGAUAUUAGAGUACGGGUUGUACAUUUCAUCACCUGGUUGGUGGUAAUAGCGGCAGGUUGCCGAAUAAUUUUGGAGUACUGGGCGUACUUUUGAUCACCUAGUUGGUGGUAAUAGCGGCGGGUUGCCGAAUAAUUAUGGAGUAUUAG
This 3183-nucleotide long non-coding RNA is filed under the name Malus domestica (apple). RNAcentral describes it as "long non-coding RNA (MDOM_LNC010191)". The record is from RNAcentral. Lineage: Eukaryota; Viridiplantae; Streptophyta; Magnoliopsida; Rosales; Rosaceae.